CCCUUAGAGUUUGAUCCUGGCUCAGAUUGAACGCUGGCGGAAUGCUUUACACAUGCAAGUCGAGCGGCAGCGCGGGGGCAACCCUGGCGGCGAGCGGCGAACGGGUGAGUAAUGCAUCGGAACAUGUCCAUGUCGUGGGGGAUAGCCCGGCGAAAGCCGGAUUAAUACCGCAUACGCCCGAGAGGGGAAAGCCGGGGACCGCAAGGCCUGGCGCGAUUGGGUUGGCCGAUGUCCGAUUAGCUAGUUGGCGGGGUAAUGGCCCACCAAGGCGAUGAUCGGUAGCUGGUCUGAGAGGAUGAUCAGCCACACUGGGACUGAGACACGGCCCAGACUCCUACGGGAGGCAGCAGUGGGGAAUUUUGGACAAUGGGGGAAACCCUGAUCCAGCCAUUCCGCGUGAGUGAAGAAGGCCUUCGGGUUGUAAAGCUCUUUUGUCCGGAACGAAACGGUGGACGUGAACAUCGUCCAUUACUGACGGUACCGGAAGAAUAAGCACCGGCUAACUACGUGCCAGCAGCCGCGGUAAUACGUAGGGUGCGAGCGUUAAUCGGAAUUACUGGGCGUAAAGGGUGCGCAGGCGGUUUUGUAAGCCAGAUGUGAAAUCCCCGGGCUCAACCUGGGAAUGGCAUUUGGGACUGCAAGGCUUGAGUGCGGCAGAGGAGACUAGAAUUCCUGGUGUAGCAGUGAAAUGCGUAGAUAUCACGAGGAAUACCGAUGGCGAAGCAGGUCUCUGGGCUGACACUGACGCUCAUGCACGAAAGCGUGGGGAGCAAACAGAUUAGAUACCCUGGUAGUCACGCCCUAACGAUGUCGAC
Molecule: ribosomal RNA, 815 nt
Filed under: uncultured bacterium
Lineage: Bacteria
Description: bacterial SSU rRNA
Rfam family: Bacterial small subunit ribosomal RNA
Source: RNAcentral